RNAcentral lists this long non-coding RNA (309 nucleotides) under Chrysolophus pictus (golden pheasant). Its description in RNAcentral is "lncRNA (ENSCPIG00010012170.1)". The record is from RNAcentral. Lineage: Eukaryota; Metazoa; Chordata; Aves; Galliformes; Phasianidae.
GACGAAGGCGGGGGAUUUCCGUCCCCGCAGCCUCGGCGGGGGAACGAGACCUGUUCGCCGGCACGCGCGGAGCCGUCCCGGGGCAGGAGACAACAGCAAGAUCCCUUUCCAAGGAGAUUGGCACAGAUUUAUACACCUGGUCACCUCUCUGACACUGCUCCCACCACUGGACAGAAGAAGCAAAGAUGGGGCUGUGAAAAUGAUCUGAUGCCAUCCAUAUGCUUCCCUGGCAACAAAUACUAUGUCCUACCUACUUGUUCAUCAGUACAUUUGGGUAAAAACAGAAAAAGUGGAAAGGAGUAUGGGUGA